UCCGCGCAACUGAUAGUGUUUGUCCGUAUCAACGAGUUGCUUGUUUCAACGAAUUUUGUGUCCGUCGGAAUUCAUGCGCUGUGUGAAAAUUAAAUAUAAUGUGCAUUUUUAAAUACUUUAAUUUUCGAAUAAAAACACGUAAUAUCCUUAUGAAACUUGAACGUCCAGUUCAGUUCCCAACAUCUAGUUGGGAAUAUUGUUGUUUGUGUUGUGCGAGUUCAUUGCGUUAAAUGUUACUGUCAGUAACAUUGCGUGCCGUCGGAACACAGUCGGUGUUCACGAGCCGUCGGAACUCUGCGCUGCGUUAAAGUAAAAUGUGUUAAAUUUAUAAACAUUGCUGUAUUGGACUUGGUGCAAACAUUUCGCUAGUGUUAUAAGUGGAUCCAGAGAUUUUGAACAAGAUACACGCUAGAAGCACGCCACAAAUUAGUAUUUCCAUUGGAUUUAAUUUGUGGUGCGUAAGUUUCGAGUAUUUGCCGUGACUUGUAGCCCAUGAGUUGUGCAUUGGUGAGUUUAUAAUUCAAUUUAGUUUAAAAAAGGGCAGCGGUAGAAGUGACUCGUAUUCAGGGCACCGUACGGGGGUAGCGGUCGAAGUGACUCGUGUUCAGGGCAUCGUACGAGGGUAGCGGUAGGAGUGACUCGUGUUCUAGGCACCGUAUAAGGGUAGCAGUAGAAGUGACUCGGUUCAGGGCAUUCUACGAGGGUUGCGGUAGAAGUGACUUGCCUUCAGGGCAUCGUUUAAGGGUAGCGGUAGAAGUGACUCGGUUCAGGGCACCAUAUAAGCGUAGCGGUAGAAGUAAUAACUCGUGUGCGCGUAAUUUAAUUUCGUUUUUUUUUCAAUAUUGCGGUCGGACAGGACCUUACACAAACUUGACCGCGAUGUAUACAGAUGCAGAAUUUAAUUCUCUAUAAGGCAAUAUUUGUUCGUUGAAGGAGAUAUUCCUAAAACGUGAAUAAUUGCAAAAAAAAUGUUACUUUGUCCGGUUUUUGCGUCCUUGCGUACUUUGAUUUCGUUUUUUUAUUAUUAUUGCGGGCGGACAGGACCUUACACAAACUUGAGCGCCAUGUUUACAGAGGCCGAGUUUAAUUCUCUAUAAGGCUAUAUUUAUUUGUUGCAGGAGAUACGGUUGCACCGUUAGUAAUUGCAAAAAAGGCUAUUUUUCUAGUGUUCUUGUGCGUUAAUUUUUUGAUAUUUUUAAAAAUUAUUACUGCUUAUUGGGAGCGUUUAGCGCGGCGUCUAGAGAUGCGGAAUUAAAUUUUCCGUCGGGUGGUAUUUGUUUGUUUGAGGAAUUCAACCUGCAAUUUGCGAAAAUUUGCAUAAAAGAGUGAUUUUUUCACCCUUCGCCGUAAAAUGUUUUAAUUUUUUUGGGUUUGCAUGCGAUCUUUGCAGCUCAGUAACUUCAGGGUUGCAUCUAGAGAAGCGGAAUUAAAUUCUCCGUCGGGUGGUAUUUAUGUGUUGCAGGAAUUCGACCUGCAAUUUGCGAAUAUUUGCAUUAAAAGGUGAUUUUUUCACCCUUUAUCGUGAAAUGCUUGUAUUUUUAUGUGUUUGCACGCGAUCUUGGCAACUAAGUAACUUCAGCGUGGCAUCUAGAGAAGCGGAAUUAAAUUUUACGUCGGGUGGUAUUUGUUUGUUGCAGGAAUUCGACUUGAAAUUUGCGAAAAUUGGCAUUAAAAAGUGAUUUUUUCACCCUUUAUCGAGAAGUGUUUGUAUUUUUUCGGGUUUGCACGUGAUCUUGGCAGCUCAGUAAUUUCUGCGUGGCAUCUAGAUAAGCGGAAUUAAAUUCUCCAUCGAGUGGUAUUUGUUCGUUGUAGGAAUUCGACCUGCAAUUUGCAACAAAAUUGCAUUAAAAGGUGAUUCUUUUACCCUUUAUCGUGAAAUGUUUGUAUUUUUCGAGUUUGCAUGCGAUCUUGGCAGCUCAGUAACUUCUGCGUGGCAUUUAGAGAAGCGGAAUUAAAUUCUCCGUCGGGUGGUAUUUGUUUGUUGCAGGAAUUCGACCUGCAAUUUGCAAAAAUUUGCAUUAAAAGGUAAUUUUUUCACCCUUUAUCGUGAAAUGUUUGUAUUUUUUCGGGUUUGCACGCGAUCUUGGCAGCUCAGUAACUUCUGCGUGGGAUUUAGAAAAGCGGAAUUAAUUUCUCCGUCGGGUGGUAUUUGUUUGUUGCAGGAAUUCGACCUGCAAUUUGCGAAAAUUUGCAUUAAAACGUGAAUUUUUCACCCUUUCUUGUGAUAUGCUUGUAUUUUUUCGGGUUUGCGCGCGACCUAGGCGGCUCACUAGCUUCAGCGCGGUGUUUAGAAAUGCGGAAUUGAAUUCUCCAUCGGGUGAUAUUUGUUUGCUGCAGGAAUUCGACCUGCAACUUGUGAAAAUUUGCAUUAAAAUGUUCAAAAUGUUUUUUUGUGAUUUAUUUUUAUAGUGAAAUGUUUGUAUUUUUUCGGGUGUGCAAAAUUUCACUUUUGAGCACUUUUAGUCGCAUUUUUCGACUCCAUGAAAUUAAAUAAUUUUAAAUAUUUAUCUAAUAGAGAUUUAUCCAAUCUAGAAGUGACUCGUGUUCAGGGCACCGUACGAAGGUAGCGGUAGAAGUGACUCGUGUUCAGGGCACCCUACGAAGGUAGCGGUAGAAGUGACUCGUAUUUAUAAAAUAUAAAAUAUAAUUUGUGCUAUUCGGAAUUGAAAAAAAAACUGGGGAAAAGGGGCCGUACCGCCUCAUGUUUUUUUUGUUAUAAAUUUUUUCACUUCUUAUUUUUCCGAUUUUAAUACUUAGAUUUAAAUAUUUAAAUUAGUCGCGGUGUUGUAAACAUCAAUUAUUUAAUUAACUAAGGUAUACAGUAAGGUAUAAGUAAAAGUAGAUUUCGUGUAUGUGUGUUAUUUCAAUAUUGUGAAUUUUUACUUUCGUUUUCUCAACUACGUGUUUACCACUACGUUUGUGUAUAAACAACUUUUUUGUUCAACUGACGCGUAUUAUCGCUACGUACCUGGUUACGUGCAGCGCACACGGCAGUCGUUUCACCGCGUGGUCCGCGAACGCGUCUUUCCAAUCGCCACGCGUUUUCAGACUGUAUUCUUUUCGUCAUCAGCAAAAUAUUUGUAACGAGCAUGUGCAUAUAUGUGCAUAUAUGUGCAUAAUAUAUCUUAUACAUUGAAUAGUUUUUCGUUAUUUUUAUCGUAUUUACCUACUGUAUUACCACGGGCCGUCGCUUGCCGUCUGCUGAUUUGGAUGUUUUCCGCCUGUUUUGAGCAGUGCGUUGAACUAUGUGUGUUUUGAACUAAGUGUAGCAGUGGCGCUAUCUAGCUUAGAGGGUUGUGAUGAGGGUUGUUAAGUUUGUUACUUAGUAUAAGUUUUUUAUGUAUUGCGUCGCCACUCGUACUUCCUGCGCGGCGCCAUGAUGGGCCGCUGAGAGGGAGUAUGAGGGUGCAAAUAAAAGGGCCAGCCGAGAGCAUCUCGGCCUUGUUUCCAUCGAAUCGUCAUCGUGAGUUAUCUGUGAGUAUUUUUGACCCUCAGUGCUUAGUAAAUUGUGCGUGCCCGUAUUUCUUGUGUUGUAAUCUGUUCCGGACGCCAUCUUGCUUAAGUUAUACUCUGACUUCUUUGAACUUGCACUUGAAAAUCUAUUAAGUUAGAUCUCGCGAACAAGUCCUUCGCGAGUUAAGUAACCAUUGUUAAACAAACCGCGACAACCGCGUAAACACCGCCUGAUGUUUUAUUAAUUUAUGAUGAUGCUUCACCCGUCGGUUACCUUAUGCAGUUGAUGCUAUCAACUGAUAAAUAUAUAUAUAAAAAAAUUUAUUUAUUCUUUUCGUCAUCAGCAAAAUAUUUGUAACGAGCAUGUGCAUAUAUUUCAUAAACUGAAUUUAUGAAGAUGCCCUCUGGGCGAAACAUGUCAACUCAAAAAUAAAAUUGUAAAUCCAAAAUCACGUAUAAUGUUUAAUAAAUAAAUAUUUUUUAUAAAUAUACAACAUGGAUUACGUAUUCACCAAAGAAAGUAAUAAAUGAUAAAUAUAUACACAAUAUAUUAAAUUGAAAGUGUUGUAUUCUUGUUGCAACUUUUUUACUUAACUUUUCCGAUCAUUUUCGGGUUAAAUCUUUGAAUUUCUGUUAAAAUAUAGUUGUUUCGGUAUAAAUUUCUCUCGUCACGAUGUGAAUGUUGAUCAUAUUUGUAGUUUUUAAAACUUUCCUUUUGUAACACCCUGUAUAUUUGUUUUCCUAACAGUACUUUAGUAAAUCGCCUUUAUUUGCGAGUUGUGAGUGUUCUUUCUUUUAAAUUUGGGAUUUUCCUUCUGAAACACCCUGAAUAUUUGCUUUUCUUUGUGUCCGUGAAAACUCUCCUUCAGUUGUGGUUUUAAAGUUUUUUUUUGCAUUUUAAGUUUUUUGUAACACCCAGUUUAUUAGUUUCCCGGAGCAUCGGGUGAAAACGAGCAAUAUUUGUAGUCUUUAGAUGUUUUUCUUUUUGAUGGUUGAUUUUUCUAUUUGUGACACCUUGUAUAAUCGUUUUUCUUCACAUCCCUGAAAAUUUUGCUUUGACUGCUAUUAGAAUUUAACUUCUUGCACUUUGAAUUUUCUUUUUGUAACGCCCUGUAUAUUUGUUUCCCAGGGUAACCGUGGAAAACUAGCGAUAUUUGAAUGUUUAGAUGUUUUCCUGUCUGUACUUAAUUUUCUGUAACCCCCCGGUAUAUUUGUUUCCAUUUUCAAUCACGAAGAAAAUUGACUUUGCUAAUUGCUUUAUCCCGCUAGAACUUCACUUAGUGAUACGCGAUUGUUUGCGCGGCUAAGCAGGUCGUAAUUCCAAUUUCAAUAUGGCGGCAUGAAUUCUGUUGACUUGUAUUAUUUUACAUUGUAUUUAUUAAUAAAGAAAUGUUAAGAAA
Long non-coding RNA from Dalotia coriaria, 4853 nucleotides. RefSeq lists it as uncharacterized. The record is from RefSeq and is a predicted model, not a curated record. The transcript is spliced from 2 exons. NCBI's taxonomy places the organism in Eukaryota, Metazoa, Arthropoda, Insecta, Coleoptera, Staphylinidae.